GAUGAACGCUGGCGGCGUGCUUAACACAUGCAAGUCGAACGGAAAGGCUCCUGCUUGCAGGGGUACUCGAGUGGCGAACGGGUGAGUAACACGUGGGUGAUCUGCCCUGCACUUCGGGGUAAGCCUGGGAAACUGGGUCUAAUACCGGAUAGGACGAUGGUUUGGAUUCCAUUGUGGAAAGUUUUUCGGUUUGGGAUGAGCUCGCGGCCUAUCAGCUUGUUGGUGGGGUAAUGGCCUACCAAGGCGUCGACGGGUAGCCGGCCUGAGAGGGUGUACGGCCACAUUGGGACUGAGAUACGGCCCAGACUCCUACGGGAGGCAGCAGUGGGGAAUAUUGCACAAUGGGCGCAAGCCUGAUGCAGCGACGCCGCGUGGGGGAUGACGGCCUUCGGGUUGUAAACUCCUUUCGCUAGGGACGAAGCGCAAGUGACGGUACCUGGAGAGGAAGCACCGGCUAACUACGUG
Molecule: ribosomal RNA, 465 nt
Filed under: uncultured bacterium
Lineage: Bacteria
Description: partial 16S ribosomal RNA
Rfam family: Bacterial small subunit ribosomal RNA
Source: RNAcentral